AUACGGAGGACGCGAGCGUUAUCCGGAUUCAUUGGGUUUAAAGGGUGCGCAGGCGGCCGUGCAAGUCAGCGGUGAAAGCCCGGGGCUCAACCCCGGAAGUGCCGUUGAUACUGCGUGGCUGGAAUGCGGUCGAGGCGGGCGGAACGUGGGGUGUAGCGGUGAAAUGCGUAGAUAUGCCACAGAACGCCGAUAGCGGAGGCAGCUCGCCAGUCCUGCAUUGACGCUCGGGCACGAAAGCGGGGGGAUCGAACAGGAUUAGAUCCCCUGGUAGUCCACGCCGUAAACGAUGGGCGCUCGUCGUCGGCGACAGACAGUCGGCGGCCAAGCGAAAGCGAUAAGCGCCCCACCUGGGGAGUACGGUCGCAAGGCUGAAACUCAAAUGAAUUGACGGGG
Molecule: ribosomal RNA, 393 nt
Filed under: uncultured bacterium
Lineage: Bacteria
Description: partial 16S ribosomal RNA
Rfam family: Bacterial small subunit ribosomal RNA
Source: RNAcentral